CAUCCCCCUACGAGGAGUCAGAGCCGGCAGGAGAUACAAAUGAAAUUAAUUUGUAUACUACUGUUUCGCAAGACGAACAUGUUGUGUCUCAUGCCGAAUUAAUGAGUAUAACGAAAGAAGAGCAAAAUGAAAUGAAAACUUCGAAAACAUUCGAACUACUCAAGUCGUUCGAAGAAUACUUUGUGUAUUCAUUUUGUGCUUUGAGAAAUUGCGAGCAGACUUGCGAAAUGGAAGCGGAAGCUGCAGGAAAAAAUAUAACACACACAGCAGAAAACAGCUGACAAUAUUCGAAUGUAUUCAAUAUACAACAUUUAAUAGCUUCUGCUGCUCACUCACUCACUUCGUUUCUUUUCGGGUAUAUUUUUAUGCAGCCGAGAGAAACACGACUUCAGUCACUCACUCAUUCUCAUUUCGUUUUGUACAAGUAUUCACUCAAUUCAAUGAUGACUUUGUACAUUUGAAUGUGCUUUUUUUGCCAUUCAUGCAGACGUCUAGUACAUACAUAUGUACAUACACACAUAGAAAUGAGCGCGUGUAUAAGGCUGGAAUGCUUGAUGCUAUGCGUGCAGACUUAUGUAUAUAUACAUGUGGGAUUCGUAAAAGUUGCAACACCCCUGGCAGAUGAACCGCAGGGAAUCGGAGUAAACGUUAGCUUUUGAACUAGAUCACGAAUCGUUCUUAGAAGAAAAAGAGUCGUUAUGCAGUCGUCGACCAGCAGAGUCGUGAGGCAGCCGUCAAGCAGCUAAGACGUACAACAGAAUCAAGUGUCGCUAAGUAAAAAUGCCGAAUGAGAUAAAGAAGAACAGAAGUGAAAUAGAGAUCACAAGAAGUGAAAAGAUCAUGAACACGUACAAUUAAUUAAAUAACCUAAGUGUAACUAAAAUUAAUCUCUAUAAUAAAAUACAAUAUAAUAUAAUAUAAUUUGGUAGACAUUUGUUGUAAAACUCGUUAUAGUUUAAAGUUAAAAGGAAAUCGUUAAAUUGACUUUUAAUUUACUCAAUAAAUGUAAAAUCCUACAAAUUGGGAGCUCAACCGGGAUUGGUCCAAGUUACACUUUAAGCAAUUUAAUUAAUUGAAUCGCGAAAGACAAAGCUGCUGAAAAGUGAGAAAUGAACAAUUAUUGCGAAGGUGCGAGCGAGACAAAAAGAGACGCUUAGUGACGAUUGCAAAUUCUGGUGAAAUUCACUUUUCUGGGAAAGCGACGCGCGCAAGCAGAAAGGUAAAAGACAAAGACAAAAAGUGUGAGCAGAGACGUCAAAGAAGUCGGUGGAUGAAAAUUUUGCUGAUACGCAGGCGGAUGAGCUGGUGCGUAAAGAGACGAAGUUAAUCGAGAACGUAAGCUAGGUGGCUAUGCGUCAAGGUUAAUUUAUCAAAGUUGCUAGUGAGAUUCGUCGUGGGACGCAGUUGAUCAAGAGCGCAAGUCAGGUGGCUGUGCGUUAAGAUCAACACAGAAGGUGGAACUGAGAUUCAUCGUUGGAAUCACAGGCAGACUAUCAGGUGGAUAGUGUAGUAUGUCUCAUUUAAUAAUAUAUAUACCCGGCACUCAAUACACUAAAAUGUACACAUAGUGACACUUUGUCGCUAUGUAAAUAUACAACCAAAUAUAUACAAUAAUGUAAACAUAAAUGCACUUGAGAUGAUCGGACAAAUAUACAUAUAUACCGCUUAUAUAAGUUAACAACAAAAAUAUUCUUCAAAUUAAAAACAAAAAUAUUCUACAUUGCAACAAAACCCAAUGGGAAUUGUUGCAACGCAAAUAAAACGUAACAAGCUGAUCAGACCAAUAAGCCAAAACUGCUGACACAACGUCUAGCGGACUUCCUGCACACGCCAACCAGAGCUCCAGAAAUUCUAAGAAGAAUUGCACAACGGUUCAACAACACCACGAGCGACGCCGCUGCCAACGUCGUCGACUGAACCACAGCUCAGCUAGGGAUAGAAUUGAUUUAAGUAAUUUAGUUGCAAAUUUGUUCUUGAAUAAAACGGACUGCAUUUAAGCAGUAAAAUA
This is a long non-coding RNA of Drosophila mojavensis, 2008 nucleotides long. RefSeq lists it as uncharacterized. The transcript is spliced from 2 exons. Lineage: Eukaryota; Metazoa; Arthropoda; Insecta; Diptera; Drosophilidae. The record is from RefSeq and is a predicted model, not a curated record.